AUUUCAUCAAGAGUGGUGGAGGGACAGGCCCGAUGAAACCCGGCAACCUGCGCAAGGACGCAUGGUGCCAAAUCCUGCAGAAUCGCUGAUUCUGAGAGAUGAAAC
RNAcentral lists this non-coding RNA (105 nucleotides) under Brevibacillus borstelensis. RNAcentral's name for it is "SAM-I sequence". It matches the Rfam family "SAM riboswitch aptamer (S box leader)". From Rfam's summary of the family: The SAM riboswitch is found upstream of a number of genes which code for proteins involved in methionine or cysteine biosynthesis in Gram-positive bacteria. The SAM riboswitch acts at the level of transcription termination control. The predicted structure consists of a complex stem-loop region followed by a single stem loop terminator region. The record is from RNAcentral. Lineage: Bacteria; Bacillati; Bacillota; Bacilli; Caryophanales; Paenibacillaceae. RNAcentral also lists the same sequence under 1 other name.